RNAcentral lists this transfer RNA (76 nucleotides) under Vibrio parahaemolyticus. RNAcentral describes it as "tRNA-Phe". The stretch from base 3 to 70 matches the Rfam family "tRNA". Rfam says of the family: Transfer RNA (tRNA) molecules are approximately 80 nucleotides in length. Their secondary structure includes four short double-helical elements and three loops (D, anti-codon, and T loops). Lineage: Bacteria; Pseudomonadati; Pseudomonadota; Gammaproteobacteria; Vibrionales; Vibrionaceae. The record is from RNAcentral.
UACCGGAUAGCUCAGUCGGUAGAGCAGAGGAUUGAAAAUCCUCGUGUCGGUGGUUCGAUUCCGCCUCCGGGCACCA